UCGGUUUCGCGUGACAAAAAAUUGGGAAAUGUUUGCGCUCGAGGGAUGAACGUCACCGACAUGCUGCUCGCUGGAAGAAAAAGGAAAAGGCGAGACUGCUUGUUGUGCCGCUUAACUGUGGGAGCAUUCGGACAGACGUGACGUCAUCAGCUUUGCACGUUAGAGCGGCCUGAAGUACAGGUCAUCUGCGUGGAUCUUGGUGGCGGGAGCAGGAAGACUGGGAGCCUCGGGCUUUGAAACCCGGGGCCGGAUCUUCUGAGUCGUACGGGGGGCUUCCGGCUCGAUAAAGUUAUUUUCCUCUCUUUCCUCUGCUGCAAGUUGACUCCCAGAUUCUGUCCAAUCUGUGGCAGUAAACCCGCAGGACCGUGCUCCCACAGACAGGUCUCGGCCCACUCCUCCGCCGUGCGCUCCAGCUCGGUGUCCCACUCCUGAACAU
Molecule: long non-coding RNA, 436 nt
Organism: Hippocampus zosterae (dwarf seahorse)
Lineage: Eukaryota; Metazoa; Chordata; Actinopteri; Syngnathiformes; Syngnathidae
Exons: 4
Source: RefSeq, a predicted model, not a curated record